This 75-nucleotide transfer RNA is filed under the name Calditrichota bacterium. RNAcentral describes it as "Calditrichaeota bacterium tRNA-Gln". It matches the Rfam family "tRNA". Rfam says of the family: Transfer RNA (tRNA) molecules are approximately 80 nucleotides in length. Their secondary structure includes four short double-helical elements and three loops (D, anti-codon, and T loops). Lineage: Bacteria; Pseudomonadati; Calditrichota. The record is from RNAcentral.
UGGGGCGUCGCCAAGUGGUAAGGCACGGGGUUUUGGUCCCCGCAUUCGAGGGUUCGAAUCCUUCCGCCCCAGCAA